Molecule: ribosomal RNA, 1487 nt
Filed under: Arthrobacter agilis
Lineage: Bacteria; Bacillati; Actinomycetota; Actinomycetes; Micrococcales; Micrococcaceae
Description: partial 16S ribosomal RNA
Rfam family: Bacterial small subunit ribosomal RNA
Source: RNAcentral
UACGCAGAUUCGUCGAUACAGAGUUUGAUCCUGGCUCAAGCCAAUUCCUCAACUUGGAGCUGGGGGGGGCGGGACCCAAAAAACAACUAGGAUUUGGAUCCCGGGCAAAGGGAAAAAUAAAUAAAGUGUUCGAUAUUGAAUUCUAUCUUUUGGUGUAUGUCUUGUUGUUGGUAUGUUUUUGUGUUUUUGUAUGUAUUCAUGUCUUUUUAUCUUGUUGGUGGUAUAUUGGUCUAUCUAUGUAACUACGUGUAUCCGGCCUGAUAGGGUGACCGGUCUCUCUGUAUCUGAAACUCUGUCCAUACUCCUAUGGGUGGCUGUAGUGGUAAAUAUUGCACUGUGGGCGCAUGCCUGAUGCUGCGUCGCCGCGUGAGGGAAGAAGGCCUUCGGGUUGUAAACCCCUUUCAUAUUUUUAGAAGCCCAUCCUUUUGGGGUGGGUGACGGUACCUGCAGAAGAAGCGCCGGCUAACUACGUGCCAGCAGCCGCGGUAAUACGUAGGGCGCAAGCGUUAUCCGGAAUUAUUGGGCGUAAAGAGCUCGUAGGCGGUUUGUCGCGUCUGCCGUGAAAAUCCGGGGCUUAACUCCGGAUCUGCGGUGGGUACGGGCAGACUAGAGUGCAGUAGGGGAGACUGGAAUUCCUGGUGUAGCGGUGAAAUGCGCAGAUAUCAGGAGGAACACCGAUGGCGAAGGCAGGUCUCUGGGCUGUAACUGACGCUGAGGAGCGAAAGCAUGGGGAGCGAACAGGAUUAGAUACCCUGGUAGUCCAUGCCGUAAACGUUGGGCACUAGGUGUGGGGGACAUUCCACGUUUUCCGCGCCGUAGCUAACGCAUUAAGUGCCCCGCCUGGGGAGUACGGCCGCAAGGCUAAAACUCAAAGGAAUUGACGGGGGCCCGCACAAGCGGCGGAGCAUGCGGAUUAAUUCGAUGCAACGCGAAGAACCUUACCAAGGCUUGACAUGAACCGGAAUGAUGCAGAGAUGUGUCAGCCACUUGUGGCCGGUUUACAGGUGGUGCAUGGUUGUCGUCAGCUCGUGUCGUGAGAUGUUGGGUUAAGUCCCGCAACGAGCGCAACCCUCGUUCCAUGUUGCCAGCGGGUUAUGCCGGGGACUCAUGGGAGACUGCCGGGGUCAACUCGGAGGAAGGUGGGGACGACGUCAAAUCAUCAUGCCCCUUAUGUCUUGGGCUUCACGCAUGCUACAAUGGCCGGUACAAAGGGUUGCGAUACUGUGAGGUGGAGCUAAUCCCAAAAAGCCGGUCUCAGUUCGGAUUGAGGUCUGCAACUCGACCUCAUGAAGUUGGAGUCGCUAGUAAUCGCAGAUCAGCAACGCUGCGGUGAAUACGUUCCCGGGCGUUGUACACACCGCCCGACCAGUCCCGAACCAAAGUCGAACUCGUUGGUAACAGACUUUGAUCCGCCGAAUCCGAAUUCGUCGACAACAGAGUUUGAUCCGCUCACCGAAUCAUCACAACCUGUGUCCGACUAACAGGAA